CAAGUUCUGCUCCCUUCUAGAAACAACAUAGACAAAGAAAGCAAAAGGAAAGAAAUGCUGACAGAGACCCACAAAGGCCGCUGUGAUUUGGUAAAGCACCAAGCCUGCCAGCACGUCCUAUGGAAAGUGAGGGCAGACACAACCACAGUUGGCAGGGAGAACAGCCAAGCCGCAGCACAGCUAAUGACAGUCACCACUCUGGAGAAAUGCUUCAAAGGGCAGCUGCAGAGGUGGCAGCCAGCUCACUGAGGAAAACGGUCUUGAUCAGGCUGGAGUGCAGUGACAUAAUCACAGCUCACUGCAUCCUCAGACUCCUGGGCUCAAGCAAUCCUCCCAUCUCAGUCUUCCAAGUAAUUAGGACUAGAAGUGUGUAUUAGUCUGUUCUCAAGCUGCUGAUGAAGACAUACCCUAGACUGGGCAAUUUGCAAAAGAAAGAGGUUUAAUGGACUCACAGUUCCACGUGACUGCGGAUGCCUCACCAUGGCAGCAGACGAGAGGAGAAUGAGAGCCAAGUGAAAGGGGUUUCCCCUUAUAAAACCACCAGAUCUCAGGAGUCUUAUUCACUACCACGACAACAGUAUGGGGGAAACUGCCACCCCCAUGAUUCAAUUAUCUCCCACCGGGUCCCUCCCACAAUAUGAGGGAAUUAUGGGAGCUACAAUUUAUGAGAUUUAUGAGAUUUGGGUGGGGACACAGCCAAACCAUAUCAGUGUGCCACCACACUCAGCUAAUUUAUUAUUUUUAGAAACAUGGUCUCACUAUGUUGCCCAGGCUGGUCUGCACUCC
Long non-coding RNA from Homo sapiens (human), 786 nucleotides. RefSeq annotates it as long independently transcribed non-coding RNA 519. The transcript is spliced from 2 exons. NCBI's taxonomy places the organism in Eukaryota, Metazoa, Chordata, Mammalia, Primates, Hominidae. The record is from RefSeq and is marked validated.